CGCCAUUACAACUAAGAGGAUACGACUCGGUGACGUAGUUCUUAAUUUCACCAAGAAAAGUUGUGGUUGAAGAUGCAUUCAAGGUGUUUCAAGACUCAAGGUCGGAUCUGCACAUCAAGCUUGCAAGAGGAAGAUUGGAAUCAGGAAUCCUUGAGAAGAUGACACUCUGAGAUGUGCAGGAAGAUGUGUGGGGAGGCAGCCCACCAGCAAGGCUUCCCCUGAAAUGGCGGCUGAAGAGACACAAGUACAUAAAGUGCUAUAGAAGCUUUACUGUAGUGAAAUAUUUGCCAUCAUUCUGCAAUACACACAUGGUCUAAAAGAGACAUGACAAGACAAGCACAUAAGAAAAUGAAAUGAUGGAAAACCUCUUCAGUUGAUUGUGUUCUGCUCAGAUGUUGCCUAAAGCGA
Asterias rubens (European starfish) is the source of this 408-nucleotide long non-coding RNA. RefSeq lists it as uncharacterized. NCBI's taxonomy places the organism in Eukaryota, Metazoa, Echinodermata, Asteroidea, Forcipulatida, Asteriidae. The transcript is spliced from 4 exons. The record is from RefSeq and is a predicted model, not a curated record.